Long non-coding RNA from Bos taurus (domestic cattle), 1005 nucleotides. NCBI's taxonomy places the organism in Eukaryota, Metazoa, Chordata, Mammalia, Artiodactyla, Bovidae. The record is from Ensembl.
AAUUGAUACCUAUAAAAACAGAAGAAACUAUGUAUUAGGAAAAAGAGUAAAUAAUGAGAUCCUCAUUAGUUCCAUGGCAGAAGCAUCAUGGAGUGGGUAACAGCACACCCUCUGACAUCAGAAGUAGAUUGAGAGCCACACCUUACAAGGUGUAUGACCUUGAACAUCUGUGAAGUGUUAACAGUGAUAGAAAUCAAUACCUACUCCCUCAGGACCCUAAUUAGGAUUAAAUGAGAUAAUGAAUGUACCAUUUUUAGUGCACUCUUUCUCUUUGUAAGUAACUGACAAAUAUUUCGAUGGUAACAAUGCUAAAGAUGGGAGAAGUAUGAGAAGUGAAGUGCUUUGGUAAGUUACAGGGGAAAAGAAACACAGAUGAAUUUAUAGGAGGUAUGGUGAGUGGAAUCGGAGAAGGAAAUGGCAACCCACUCCAGUGUUCUUGCCUGAAGAAUCCCAGGGAUGGGGGAGCCUGGUGGGCUGCCGUCUAUGGGGUCACACAGUCGGACACGACUGAAGUGACUUAGCAGCAGCAGCAGCAUAGUGAGUGGAAGAGCUCCCCUGGUGGCUCAGGUGGUAAUGAAUUUGCCUGCAGUGCAGGAGAUGACAGUUCGAUCCCUGAGUCAGGAAGAUCCCUUGCAGAAGGGAAUGGCUACCCACUCCAGUAUUCUUGCCUUAAGAGUUCCAUGGACUGAGGAGCUUGGCAGGCUACAGUUCAUGGGUUGCAACGAGUUGGCCACAACUGAGCAACACACACACAGUGAGUGGAAAAAAUGUGGUUGCAAAGAGCUGGACACAAUUGAGUAACACACACACACACACACACACACGAAUGUUCCCCUAAGCAGACACCUUCAGCCCUGAUGGGUUGCAAAAUGUUGAACACACACAGAAAGUAGAAAGAAUGUGGUUGCAAAGAGUUGGACAUGAUUGAGCAACACACACAGACACACACACACACAAAUGUUCCCCUAUGAGGUGGACACUUUCAGACACACACACAUAUGGGCC